GAACGACUCUCGGCAACGGAUAUCUCGGCUCUCGCAUCGAUGAAGAACGUAGCGAAAUGCGAUACUUGGUGUGAAUUGCAGAAUCCCGUGAACCAUCGAGUCUUUGAACGCAAGUUGCGCCCGAAGCCCUCGUGGCCMGGGCACGUCUGUCUGGGCGUCACGCA
RNAcentral lists this ribosomal RNA (164 nucleotides) under Polygonum minimum. Its description in RNAcentral is "5.8S ribosomal RNA". It matches the Rfam family "5.8S ribosomal RNA". Rfam says of the family: 5.8S ribosomal RNA (5.8S rRNA) is a component of the large subunit of the eukaryotic ribosome. The record is from RNAcentral. Lineage: Eukaryota; Viridiplantae; Streptophyta; Magnoliopsida; Caryophyllales; Polygonaceae.